AAUCAACGCUGGCGGCGUGCCUAACACAUGCAAGUCGAACGCGAAAGCCCUUUCGGGGGCAAGUAGAGUGGCGUCCGGGUGAGUAACACGUAGGUAAUCUACCUUCGGGUGGGGAAUAACUCGCCGAAAGGCGAGCUAAUACCGCAUAAUGCAGCGGCACCUAAUGGUGAUUAGUUGUUAAAGCGGGGGAUCGUAAGACCUCGCGCCUGAAGAGGAGCCUGCGGCAGAUUAGCAGUUGGUGAGGUAAUGGCUCACCAAGGCUUCGAUCUGUAGCUGGUCUGAGAGGACGGCCAGCCACACUGGCACUGACACACGGGCCAGACUCCUACGGGAGGCAGCAGUGGGGAAUUUUGGGCAAUGGGCGCAAGCCUGACCCAGCAACGCCGCGUGAGGGAGGAAAU
RNAcentral lists this ribosomal RNA (401 nucleotides) under uncultured bacterium. RNAcentral describes it as "bacterial SSU rRNA". It matches the Rfam family "Bacterial small subunit ribosomal RNA", at positions 32 to 414 of the family's 1533-position model. The record is from RNAcentral.